Molecule: long non-coding RNA, 538 nt
Organism: Xiphophorus couchianus (Monterrey platyfish)
Lineage: Eukaryota; Metazoa; Chordata; Actinopteri; Cyprinodontiformes; Poeciliidae
Exons: 2
Source: RefSeq, a predicted model, not a curated record
CAAUCAGCUUGAGGAGUUUCACUCAAACUUCCUUCUGAACGUGCAUCUUGGUCUUUAGCUCAGCUGGAACUCAAAAGGUAAAGGAGAAUACGGGAGGUUUCUGGGAAAAGCCUCGCUAUCAAACAAUGCCAGUCAGGAGAGGGAAGCAACACACAUCCCAGUCAGGAAGCUGCAGCUGGCGAAUGGAAAGAAAAACAAGUUUCCUUCUCACUCUGCGGCUGAAACAGAGGAUCAUUUCUGCACAAAGAGGGAUCGGAAAGGAAAGAUGGUGGAGAGACAGCUGGGUGUCAUCUGCAGAGCUGUGAAAACGAACAGCAGAUUCUCUGAAAAUAAGACCAACUGGGAGGAGAUGGAUGAAGAAAAGGACCAAGACCAGAACCUUGAGGAACACCGGAGGAAGACUGGGCCUCGACCAAAACCACCAGGGAAACUGACUGUUAUUUGCUGAGAUGAAUUUUUGAACAAACCGAAGCUCAAACACGGAGAUUAAACACGUAGCAUAAGAUUGUAUCUAUGGUAACAAUAAAAUGAUAAAAAU